Molecule: ribosomal RNA, 300 nt
Filed under: uncultured bacterium
Lineage: Bacteria
Description: bacterial SSU rRNA
Rfam family: Bacterial small subunit ribosomal RNA
Source: RNAcentral
GACGAACGCUGGCGGCGUGCUUAACACAUGCAAGUCGAGCGGUAAGGCCCUUUCGGGGGUACACGAGCGGCGAACGGGUGAGUAACACGUGGGUGACCUGCCCUCAGCUCUGGGAUAAGCCUGGGAAACCGGGUUCUAAUACUGGAUAUGACUCCAUGACGCAUGUUGGUGGGGUGGAAAGCCUUGUGCGGCUGAGGAUGGGCCCGCGGCCUAUCAGCUUGUUGGUGGGGUGANGGCCCUACCAAGGCGACGACGGGUAGCCGGCCUGAGAGGGCGACCGGCCACACUGGGACUGAGACA